GAUGAACGCUGGCGGUAUGCUUAACACAUGCAAGUCGAACGGACUCUUCGGAGUUAGUGGCGGACGGGUGAGUAACGCGUGAGAAUCUGGCUUUGGGUUCGGGACAACCACUGGAAACGGUGGCUAAUACCGGAUGUGCCGAGAGGUAAAAGAGAAAUUGCCUGAAGAUGAGCUCGCGUCUGAUUAGCUAGUUGGUGAGGUAAAGGCUCACCAAGGCAGCGAUCAGUAGCUGGUCUGAGAGGAUGACCAGCCACACUGGGACUGAGACACGGCCCAGACUCCUACGGGAGGCAGCAGUGGGGAAUUUUCCGCAAUGGGCGAAAGCCUGACGGAGCAAUACCGCGUGAGGGGAGAAGGCUCUUGGGGUGUAAACCUCUUUUCUUAGGGAAGAACAAAAUGACGGUACCUAAGGAAUCAGCAUCGGCUAACUCCGUG
Molecule: ribosomal RNA, 435 nt
Filed under: uncultured bacterium
Lineage: Bacteria
Description: partial 16S ribosomal RNA
Rfam family: Bacterial small subunit ribosomal RNA
Source: RNAcentral